This 672-nucleotide ribosomal RNA is filed under the name uncultured bacterium. RNAcentral describes it as "bacterial SSU rRNA". It matches the Rfam family "Bacterial small subunit ribosomal RNA", at positions 83 to 790 of the family's 1533-position model. The record is from RNAcentral.
GUUGGAAGCUUAGUGGCGCACGGGUGCGUAACGCGUGGGAAUCYGCCCUUCGGUUCSGAACAACAGUUAGAAAUGACYGCUAAUACCGGAUGAUGACSUAAGUCCAAAGAUUUAUCGCCGAAGGAUGAGCCCGCGUAGGAUUAGCUUGUUGGUGAGGUAAAAGCYCMCCAAGGCGACGAUYCUUAGCUGGUCUGAGAGGAUGAUCAGCCACACUGGGACUGAGACACGGCCCAGACUCCUACGGGAGGCAGCAGUGGGGAAUAUUGGACAAUGGGCGAAAGCCUGAUCCAGCAAUGCCGCGUGAGUGAUGAAGGCCUUAGAGUUGUAAAGCUCUUUUACCCGGGAUGAUAAUGACAGUACCGGGAGAAUAAGCUCCGGCUAACUCCGUGCCAGCAGCCGCGGUAAUACGGAGGGAGCUAGYGUUGUUCGGAAUUACUGGGCGUAAAGAGUACGUAGGCGGUUAUUCAAGUCAGAGGUGAAAGCCCGGGGCUCAACCCCGGAACUGCCUUUGAAACUAGAUAGCUAGAAUCUUGGAGAGGUCAGUGGAAUUCCGAGUGUAGAGGUGAAAUUCGUAGAUAUUCGGAAGAACACCAGUGGCGAAGGCGACUGACUGGACAAGUAUUGACGCUGAGGUACGAAAGCGUGGGGAGCAAACAGGAUUAGAUACCCUGR